Molecule: long non-coding RNA, 914 nt
Filed under: Gossypium barbadense (sea-island cotton)
Lineage: Eukaryota; Viridiplantae; Streptophyta; Magnoliopsida; Malvales; Malvaceae
Description: long non-coding RNA (GBAR_LNC009479)
Source: RNAcentral
UAAAUGUUUGUUUCUUUAAUAGUCCAUAUAAAGUCCAGCUUACAAGAGCCCAAACACAAGCCUAAGUACCUCAGACCCGUUAUACCCAAACAGACCGGUUGCUGCCCAGCAGGCCUAAAACUACCCAGCAAACCCUACUACUGCCCUAUACCCAUUUACAUCCGAAGCCCAAAUCUAAAACAGCCCAAAAGGCCCAAAGGACUUAAGGGAAGCAGGUAACCCUAGAGUUUCCUAAACACUGUGGCGCCGCAAGAGGUUCUAGAAGGUUCGGGGAGCGUCUAUUCAGUCCCCGAAAUCGAGGCCACCAUUAAUGCACUAUCCCAAGGGCCUUCAAUGCUCACCAAUGCCCCGGUCACCGGUCGUCCCUCUAUCCGGCCCCAAAUCGCUUCACAAGCAGCACGACCAUCACCGAGAUCUUCGGGUACCUGCAAAAUGAAAAAGGAAACACAGCAGAUACAAAAAAGUAGAGCAAGAAAAAGGAAACUAAAUCAAAGAUAUCUCAGCAGAUCAUGGUCAAAGAUACGGUGGAUACAGUAGACAAGAAAUGGAAAGAAAUCGAAGAUUUCUUUCCCAGUUUAUGUAAUAACAGUAGUGGCUAUAAAGCCCGAAUGCUUUCAUUGUAUAAAUGACCGAUUUUUUUUGACAGAAUAGAAAUAUACUUACAUAUAUUCAUUCAGAGAAAUACAAACAGUUUCUAAAAAAGGUGAUUUAAUCGUGUAUCUUGUUCUUUAUUUUUGAACGCAUAUAUAUGAAUUGUUUUAGCAAAAAACUGCUGAUGUUUAAAAGGAAAAGGGAUUACCUGGGUUUUGCUUGAGAUGAUGAAGGUUUUAACCUUCAGAUUAUCGCAAAACGACGGCGCGUGAAGCGCGUACGAGAAUGCAACUUGAUGACCGAAGGCCAGAGCUGGGGUCUUU